RNAcentral lists this ribosomal RNA (253 nucleotides) under uncultured bacterium. Its description in RNAcentral is "partial 16S ribosomal RNA". It matches the Rfam family "Bacterial small subunit ribosomal RNA", at positions 524 to 776 of the family's 1533-position model. The record is from RNAcentral.
UACGAAGGGGGCUAGCGUUGCUCGGAAUCACUGGGCGUAAAGGGUGCGUAGGCGGGUCUUUAAGUCAGGGGUGAAAUCCCGGGGCUCAACCUCGGAACUGCCUUUGAUACUGCAAGUCUCGAGUCCGAUAGAGGUGAGUGGAAUUCCUAGUGUAGAGGUGAAAUUCGUAGAUAUUAGGAAGAACACCAGUGGCGAAGGCGGCUCACUGGAUCGGUACUGACGCUGAGGUGCGAAAGCGUGGGGAGCAAACAGG